AGUUCUCGGGGCGGGGUGAGAUUCCCCACCGGCGGUAAUUGGGUCUUGGCCCAUCAGCCCGCGAGCGCCUUUUGCGUAUGUGAAAGGGUCAGCAGAUCAGGUGUAAUCCCUGAGCCGACGGUCAUAGUCCGGAUGAGAGAGAGC
RNAcentral lists this non-coding RNA (144 nucleotides) under uncultured Yoonia sp. Its description in RNAcentral is "FMN riboswitch (RFN element)". It matches the Rfam family "FMN riboswitch aptamer (RFN element)". From Rfam's summary of the family: The RFN element is a highly conserved domain that is found frequently in the 5'-untranslated regions of prokaryotic mRNAs that encode for flavin mononucleotide (FMN) biosynthesis and transport proteins. This element is a metabolite-dependent riboswitch that directly binds FMN in the absence of proteins. In Bacillus subtilis, the riboswitch most likely controls gene expression by causing premature transcription termination within the 5' untranslated region of the ribDEAHT operon and precluding access to the ribosome-binding site of ypaA mRNA. The record is from RNAcentral. Lineage: Bacteria; Pseudomonadati; Pseudomonadota; Alphaproteobacteria; Rhodobacterales; Paracoccaceae.